RNAcentral lists this long non-coding RNA (1207 nucleotides) under Gallus gallus (chicken). RNAcentral describes it as "lncRNA (ENSGALG00010010773.1)". Lineage: Eukaryota; Metazoa; Chordata; Aves; Galliformes; Phasianidae. The record is from RNAcentral.
AGAAAACUUAAUAAUAACAUCGAAAUUUCUUGAAUCCAACCUCUGUUCCAAGUUUCUCAUUACAUGAGAUGACAGCUGCAACUCACCCUGUUAACAGUGAACCUGCGUUAUUGUCUGGGCCUGAAAUACUCAGUAAUAAGUUUACUGGCAUAUGAAAUAAAACUCUGAGAGAGAUGAUUGCAAUAUUAGAAGGGUAACUGGCCCGGUCUUGUUCUCACUGAAGGUAGUGGGAACCAAAUCAGAUAGUUCGAUGAGAAUAAAAACUCAUUGCUUCUGCCUUUAGAAAACUGUACUGUUGGACUAAGCCAUAUUCUGGAGGGCUGUUCUUUAUUGUUUUUUGAAAACAUGUUGCACUUGAUGAAGUAAUGGGCAUUUAUUUUUAGAAAAAAAUCUUCAAGAACUUGUAGGUAUUUGUUUGUAGAGUUUGAGGUAAAACGUUUGAUCGUGAAACUCAAAUAUCAACAGCAGAUUAGCUAAAUCAAAUGUCAAAGCAGCAGAAAAGACAAUAAUGACAAGGACUUUAUGAUUUGGAGGAGUAAGAGGAAAAGACAUUCUUUAAAAUGUUGAUUUUUGGACCAAGUUGGCAUAAGAAACCAGAUGAUGUCCUUUUCAUCAGAGGGACAAUAUUUUGAUGGUGUUCUAUAAUAAGGACAUACAUUCCUAUUGUGAUUCAAAGAUGUUAAAAUUAUUUUGAACUGCUCGUCUUCCAGGUUUCUUUUUUACCAUUUUUCCUCCCAGCAGUUUACCAGUAGCAUAUAUUUAUUCAAGAAACUAGCCAAUAAGGUGCAAUGGUACCAGAGAAGGCUGUCCUGUUCUCCAAUGAAGUGUUAUGCUUAUGCAGUUUAACUUCUUCAGAAGAAUCUUACGUACAAACCGAUCAGUCAUCUCUUCUGGGUAACGCUGAAUUUUUGCAGAUACAGCUCUUAAAAUGAGUGGUGUUCAAAGCUAUCACAGAAUGUUUCAAUCUCAAGCCCUCGGAUGUUAAUUGGAAGAAGAAAGCAAGCUAUUUGCACUACUGUAAUAAGCUGCGGCGAUUUUGUUAUGUUAGACGGGAGUGUUAAUGAUGAGCCACAAAUGCAAGUUUUUACAAAGCCUCUGAGAAUUAAGCACUACGUCCUAUAUUCCUCUUCCUUGCUGUUCCAGUGAAAAGCAUACGUGUGGAAGAACAAAUGAAAAUGUUGUCAUGGUGAUCAGAGCAGUUACCGAG